AGAGUUUGAUCCUGGCUCAGAGCGAACGCUGGCGGCAGGCUUAACACAUGCAAGUCGAGCGGGCGUAGCAAUACGUCAGCGGCAGACGGGUGAGUAACGCGUGGGAACGUACCUUUUGGUUCGGAACAACACAGGGAAACUCGUGCUAAUACCGGAUAAGCCCUUACGGGGAAAGAUUUAUCGCCGAAAGAUCGGCCCGCGUCUGAUUAGCUAGUUGGUGAGGUAACGGCUCACCAAGGCGACGAUCAGUAGCUGGUCUGAGAGGAUGAUCAGCCACAUUGGGACUGAGACACGGCCCAAACUCCUACGGGAGGCAGCAGUGGGGAAUAUUGGACAAUGGGGGCAACCCUGAUCCAGCCAUGCCGCGUGAGUGAUGAAGGCCCUAGGGUUGUAAAGCUCUUUUGUGCGGGAAGAUAAUGACGGUACCGCAAGAAUAAGCCCCGGCUAACUUCGUGCCAGCAGCCGCGGUAAUACGAAGGGGGCUAGCGUUGCUCGGAAUCACUGGGCGUAAAGGGUGCGUAGGCGGGUCUUUAAGUCAGGGGUGAAAUCCUGGAGCUCAACUCCAGAACUGCCUUUGAUACUGAGGAUCUUGAGUUCGGGAGAGGUGAGUGGAACUGCGAGUGUAGAGGUGAAAUUCGUAGAUAUUCGCAAGAACACCAGUGGCGAAGGCGGCUCACUGGCCCGAUACUGACGCUGAGGCACGAAAGCGUGGGGAGCAAACAGGAUUAGAUACCCUAGUAGUCC
RNAcentral lists this ribosomal RNA (744 nucleotides) under uncultured bacterium. Its description in RNAcentral is "bacterial SSU rRNA". It matches the Rfam family "Bacterial small subunit ribosomal RNA", at positions 8 to 796 of the family's 1533-position model. The record is from RNAcentral.